UAACACGUAAACAACCUGCCUUCAGGAUGGGGACAACAGACGGAAACGACUGCUAAUACCGAAUGUGUUCCGGAGACCGCAUGAUUUCCGGAAGAAAGGAUGGCCUCUAUUUAUAAGCUAUCGCCUGAAGAGGGGUUUGCGUCUGAUUAGGCAGUUGGUGAGGUAACGGCCCACCAAACCUACGAUCAGUAGCCGGUCUGAGAGGAUGAACGGCCACACUGGAACUGAGACACGGUCCAGACUCCUACGGGAGGCAGCAGUGGGGAAUCUUCCGCAAUGGACGAAAGUCUGACGGAGCAACGCCGCGUGAGUGAUGACGGCCUUCGGGUUGUAAAGCUCUGUGAUCGGGGACGAAUGGCUGGUAUGCUAAUACCAUAUCAGAGUGACGGUACCCGAAUAGCAAGCCACGGCUAACUACGUGCCAGCAGCCGCGGUAAUACGUAGGUGGCAAGCGUUGUCCGGAAUUAUUGGGCGUAAAGCGCGCGCAGGCGGCUUCUUAAGUCCAUCUUAAAGUGCGGGGCUUAACCCCGUGAUGGGAUGGAAACUGGGAGGCUGGAGUAUCGGAGAGGAAAGUGGAAUUCCUAGUGUAGCGGUGAAAUGCGUAGAGAUUAGGAAGAACACCGGUGGCGAAGGCGACUUUCUGGACGACAACUGACGCUGAGGCGCGAAAGCGUGGGGAGCAAACAGGAUUAGAUACCCUGGUAGU
Molecule: ribosomal RNA, 706 nt
Filed under: uncultured bacterium
Lineage: Bacteria
Description: bacterial SSU rRNA
Rfam family: Bacterial small subunit ribosomal RNA
Source: RNAcentral